AUUCAGCUGACCAGUCCCAAAUAUGACGUAAUGCGCGUCAAACUGGAU
Non-coding RNA from Schistosoma haematobium, 48 nucleotides. The record is from Rfam. NCBI's taxonomy places the organism in Eukaryota, Metazoa, Platyhelminthes, Trematoda, Strigeidida, Schistosomatidae.